This 947-nucleotide ribosomal RNA is filed under the name uncultured Phascolarctobacterium sp. RNAcentral describes it as "bacterial SSU rRNA". It matches the Rfam family "Bacterial small subunit ribosomal RNA", at positions 1 to 871 of the family's 1533-position model. Lineage: Bacteria; Bacillati; Bacillota; Negativicutes; Acidaminococcales; Acidaminococcaceae. The record is from RNAcentral.
CGUUGGGNGCUCUCCCNUAUGGUCGACCUGCAGGCGGCCGCGAAUUCACUAGUGAUUAGAGUUUGAUCCUGGCUCAGGACGAACGCUGGCGGCGUGCCUAACACAUGCAAGUCGAACGGAGAAUUUUAUUUCGGUAGAAUUCUUAGUGGCGAACGGGUGAGUAACGCGUAGGCAACCUGCCCUUUAGACGGGGACAACAUUCCGAAAGGAGUGCUAAUACCGGAUGUGAUCAUCUUGCCGCAUGGCAGGAUGAAGAAAGAUGGCCUCUACAAGUAAGCUAUCGCUAAAGGAUGGGCCUGCGUCUGAUUAGCUAGUUGGUAGUGUAACGGACUACCAAGGCGAUGAUCAGUAGCCGGUCUGAGAGGAUGAACGGCCACAUUGGGACUGAGACACGGCCCAAACUCCUACGGGAGGCAGCAGUGGGGAAUCUUCCGCAAUGGACGAAAGUCUGACGGAGCAACGCCGCGUGAGUGAUGAAGGAUUUCGGUCUGUAAAGCUCUGUUGUUUAUGACGAACGUGCAGUGUGUGAACAAUGCAUUGCAAUGACGGUAGUAAACGAGGAAGCCACGGCUAACUACGUGCCAGCAGCCGCGGUAAUACGUAGGUGGCGAGCGUUGUCCGGAAUUAUUGGGCGUAAAGAGCAUGUAGGCGGCUUAAUAAGUCGAGCGUGAAAAUGCGGGGCUCAACCCCGUAUGGCGCUGGAAACUGUUAGGCUUGAGUGCAGGAGAGGAAAGGGGAAUUCCCAGUGUAGCGGUGAAAUGCGUAGAUAUUGGGAGGAACACCAGUGGCGAANGCGCCUUUCUGGACUGUGUCUGACGCUGAGAUGCGAAAGCCAGGGUAGCGAACGGGAUUAGAUACCCCGGUAGUCCUGGNCCGUAAACGAUGGGUACUAGGUGUANGANGUAUCGACCCNUUCUGUGNCCGGANUUAACGCAAUAANUACCCCG